This 253-nucleotide ribosomal RNA is filed under the name uncultured bacterium. RNAcentral describes it as "partial 16S ribosomal RNA". It matches the Rfam family "Bacterial small subunit ribosomal RNA", at positions 524 to 776 of the family's 1533-position model. The record is from RNAcentral.
UACGUAGGGCGCAAGCGUUGUCCGGAAUUAUUGGGCGUAAAGAGCUCGUAGGCGGCCUGUUACGUCUGCUGUGAAAUCUCAGGGCUCAACCCUGAAACUGCAUUCGAUACUGCGUGGCUAGAGUGCUGGAGAGGAGACUGGAAUUUACGGUGUGGCAGUGAAAUGCAUAGAUAUCGUAAGGAAGACCAAUGGCGAAGGCAGGGUCCUGGCUGGCACCUGACGCUCAUGUGCGAAAGCCAGGGGAGCGAACGGG